GACGAACGCUGGCGGCGUGCUUAACACAUGCAAGUCGAACGGUAAGGCCCUUCGGGGUACACGAGUGGCGAACGGGUGAGUAACACGUGGGUGAUCUGCCCUGCACUUCGGGAUAAGCCUGGGAAACUGGGUCUAAUACCGGAUAGGACCACUGCCUGCAUGGGUGGUGGUGGAAAGCUUUUGCGGUGUGGGAUGGGCCCGCGGCCUAUCAGCUUGGUGGUGGGGUGAUGGCCUACCAAGGCGACGACGGGUAGCCGGCCUGAGAGGGUGACCGGCCACACUGGGACUGAGAUACGGCCCAGACUCCUACGGGGGGCAGCAGUGGGGAAUAUUGCACAAUGGGCGCAAGCCUGAUGCAGCGACGCCGCGUGAGGGAUGACGGCCUUCGGGUUGUAAACCUCUUUCAGCACCGACGAAGCGCAAGUGACGGUAGGUGCAGAAGAAGGACCGGCCAACUACGUGCCAGCAGCCACGGUAA
Molecule: ribosomal RNA, 478 nt
Filed under: uncultured bacterium
Lineage: Bacteria
Description: partial 16S ribosomal RNA
Rfam family: Bacterial small subunit ribosomal RNA
Source: RNAcentral